This 241-nucleotide ribosomal RNA is filed under the name uncultured Actinomycetales bacterium. Its description in RNAcentral is "partial 16S ribosomal RNA". It matches the Rfam family "Bacterial small subunit ribosomal RNA", at positions 89 to 334 of the family's 1533-position model. The record is from RNAcentral. Lineage: Bacteria; Bacillati; Actinomycetota; Actinomycetes; Actinomycetales.
ACUCGAGUGGCGAACGGGUGAGUAACACGUGGGUGAUCUGCCCCGCACUUCGGGAUAAGCUUGGGAAACUGGGUCUAAUACCGGAUAGGAGCCAUCUUUAGUGUGGUGGUUGGAAAGUUUUUCGGUGUAGGAUGAGCUCGCGGCCUAUCAGCUUGUUGGUGGGGUAAUGGCCUACCAAGGCGGCGACGGGUAGCCGGCCUGAGAGGGUGUACGGCCACAUUGGGACUGAGAUACGGCCCAG